AGUGAACGCUGGCGGUAGGCCUAACACAUGCAAGUCGAACGGCAGCACAGUAAGCGCUUGCUCUUACGGGUGGCGAGUGGCGGACGGGUGAGGAAUACAUCGGAAUCUACUUUUUCGUGGGGGAUAACGUAGGGAAACUUACGCUAAUACCGCAUACGACCUACGGGUGAAAGCAGGGGAUCUUCGGACCUUGCGCGAUUGAAUGAGCUGAUGUCGGAUUAGCUAGUUGGCGGGGUAAAGGCCCACCAAGGCGACGAUCCGUAGCUGGUCUGAGAGGAUGAUCAGCCACACUGGAACUGAGACACGGUCCAGACUCCUACGGGAGGCAGCAGUGGGGAAUAUUGGACAAUGGGCGCAAGCCUGAUCCAGCCAUACCGCGUGAGUGAAGAAGGCCUUCGGGUUGUAAAGCCCUUUUGUUGGGAAAGAAAAGCAGCAGGUUAAUACCCCGCUGUUCUGACGGUACCCAAAGAAUAAGCACCGGCUAACUUCGUG
This 492-nucleotide ribosomal RNA is filed under the name uncultured bacterium. Its description in RNAcentral is "partial 16S ribosomal RNA". It matches the Rfam family "Bacterial small subunit ribosomal RNA", at positions 29 to 507 of the family's 1533-position model. The record is from RNAcentral.